Molecule: long non-coding RNA, 991 nt
Organism: Spinacia oleracea (spinach)
Lineage: Eukaryota; Viridiplantae; Streptophyta; Magnoliopsida; Caryophyllales; Amaranthaceae
Exons: 3
Source: RefSeq, a predicted model, not a curated record
UAAUCCCCCGUAAUUUUAUACAUUUUAUUAAUAUAUUUUAACGUAUAAGUAAUUAUAUUAAAAUAGAAUUUACGAAUUUUGAAAUAAAUAUUUAAGUAACGAAUAUUUAUUUUUAUACGUUUUAAAUAUUUCAACGAUUUAUGAAAUUAAAAUUAUUUUAGAACUUUUUGUUGAAAAGAAAUCGAAUUACAAAAACCGUUUGAAUUUGGAAAACAAUCCUAAUGGGUUUUGGAUUCAAACACUUAAACUCAAUCCUAGUUCUAGCCCAAAAUGAUAAAGCCCAAAUAACAAAAACUCAAAUUCUUUACUCCCUCCUCUUUCUAUUUCACGUGAAAACCCAAAACCCAAAACCCCUUCCCUUCUCCUUCACUUUCACGUGAACCAGGACCCUCAACCCUCAACCUCAUUGUUGCUUCCGCCACGCCGCCAAACCAGUCGUCGGAGACCACCGUUGUCCCUCACCGCAGCUUCAAACGCCGCCACCGUGCACUGUUGCUGCACCGCCCAACUCGCCAACCAACGUUUUCCAUCAUCCUCUUUCUUGUUUCUUCAUUUUCACGACAGCAGCCAAGCACGACUAAGUGCGACCACCGUAGUCACCACCACCAGGCUCCAGCCGCGUCGCCCGUUCCCCGCGACCACCGCCCUGUGCCGCGCCGCCUGUGCUCCGCCGGCCAGCCUCCUCUCUCCUCUUUAAUUCUUGGUGGAGAAUUCUCCGUAGGCGACUUUUGAAUUAUUAAAGUGGUCUUGCAGUUUGUUUACACAAGUCUCUAAGGAUCAAUAAGCAUUGUCCAUCUGCAGGUUUGAAGAUGUUGCAUCAUUGGGAUCGGGAAUAGAGAGCUUGUAUUUAGUUUUGAUUUGCUAAGUUGACUUGGGUUUGUUUAAUUGGACUUUAAACUGGUCGUACUAUUUAUAUUUCCUUAUUUUUUUGUUUAUUGGUUUUUGGGAUUAAACCUGUAAUCGAUUAUUUAUAAACCUAAAAUUAGUUUUA